CCAUCCGCGAACACGAGCUUCACACACACACUCACGGCUUCCACAGCUUGCUCUCGCUGCACUCGCAAGCAAUACAUCUCGUCGUUCCACUAAGACCGAGGAGCAAAUGGCGGCCACCCUGAAGCUCAGGAUCCUCAUCGUGGCGGCCGCCGUCGCCGCGUCCCUGGUCGGCACGGCCUCAGCGGCCGAGGGACCGGCGCCCGCUCCGACGUCCGCCGCCGCGUCCAUGGCCGCGCCGGCCGUUGCCGCUGCGUCCUUCACCGCGCUUGUCUUCGGCUACCUCUUCUGAACGCCGUGAACAUUCAGGCGUAGACACCGUGUUUGACCGUCGGAAAUUCUGUGUGUUGUGCCCAGCCGAAUUGUUUGCCUGCUCAGAUUCUUCUUCUUCUCUCUCUCUCGCUCUCAUGUUUUGGUGUGUAUAGGUUUGUAAUUACGUGUUCAUUUUUUUAUUGUGUGACCAUGGAUCUCGUAAUUAGUACAUGAUAUAUGUAUAAACUAUAGAGAACUGCAGUUUGGUUCUUCAUUUUACACUGUUUGAGAGAUGCUAAUAAUUGGAUUAAGACUA
This 565-nucleotide long non-coding RNA is filed under the name Zea mays. RNAcentral's name for it is "drought-responsive long non-coding RNA". The record is from RNAcentral. Lineage: Eukaryota; Viridiplantae; Streptophyta; Magnoliopsida; Poales; Poaceae.